AUAAAAAACCAAUGCCCUUCGGGGCUCCUUGGUGAUUCAUAAUAACUUAACGAAUCGCAUGGCCUUGCGCCGGCGAUGGUUCAUUCAAAUUUCUGCCCUAUCAACUUUCGAUGGUAGGAUAGUGGCCUACCAUGGUGGCAACGGGUAACGGGGAAUUAGGGUUCGAUUCCGGAGAGGGAGCCUGAGAAACGGCUACCGCAUCCAAGGAAGGCAGCAGGCGCGCAAAUUACCCAAUCCCGACACGGGGAGGUAGUGACAAUAAAUACUGAUACGGGGCUCUUUCGGGUCUCGUAAUUGGAAUGAGUACAAUCUAAAUCCCUUAACGAGGAACAAUUGGAGGGCAAGUCUGGUGCCAGCAGCCGCGGUAAUUCCAGCUCCAAUAGCGUAUAUUAAAGUUGUUGCAGUUAAAAAGCUCGUAGUUGAACCUUGGGUCUGGCUGGCCGGUCCGCCUCACCGCGAGUACUGGUCCGGCUGGACCUUUCCUUCUGGGGAAUCCCAUGGCCUUCACUGGCUGUGGG
This 518-nucleotide ribosomal RNA is filed under the name Aspergillus terreus. RNAcentral describes it as "SSU rRNA". It matches the Rfam family "Eukaryotic small subunit ribosomal RNA", at positions 214 to 732 of the family's 1831-position model. The record is from RNAcentral. Lineage: Eukaryota; Fungi; Ascomycota; Eurotiomycetes; Eurotiales; Aspergillaceae.